GCGCUCUUAGUCUAACGGAAAGACGUUGGUCUCCAAAACCAAAAAUAUAGGUUCGAUUCCUAUAGAGCGUG
RNAcentral lists this transfer RNA (71 nucleotides) under Streptococcus lutetiensis. RNAcentral describes it as "tRNA-Trp". It matches the Rfam family "tRNA". Rfam says of the family: Transfer RNA (tRNA) molecules are approximately 80 nucleotides in length. Their secondary structure includes four short double-helical elements and three loops (D, anti-codon, and T loops). The record is from RNAcentral. Lineage: Bacteria; Bacillati; Bacillota; Bacilli; Lactobacillales; Streptococcaceae.